This 454-nucleotide ribosomal RNA is filed under the name uncultured bacterium. Its description in RNAcentral is "bacterial SSU rRNA". It matches the Rfam family "Bacterial small subunit ribosomal RNA", at positions 29 to 524 of the family's 1533-position model. The record is from RNAcentral.
AACGAACGCUGGCGGCAGGCCUCAAACAUGCAAGUCUAGGGGGUGUAGUAAUACAUCACCGGCGGACGGGUGCGUAACGCGUGGGAAUGUACCUAUUGGUUCGGAACAACUGAGGGAAACUUCAGCUAAUACCGAAUGUGCCCGUAAGGGGAAAGAUUUAUCGCCAAUGGAUCAGCCCGCGUAGGAUUAGCUAGUUGGUGAGGUAAUGGCUCACCAAGGCUCCGAUCCUUAGCUGUUCUGAGAGGAAGAUCAGCCACACUGGGACUGAGACACGGCCCAGACUCCUACGGGAGGCAGCAGUUGGGAAUCUUGGACAAUGGGGGAAACCCUGAUCCAGCCAUGCCGCGUGAGUGAUGAAGGCCUUCGGGUUGUAAAACUCUUUCGUACGGGGACGAGUAAUGACGGUACCCGUAGAAGAAGCUCCGGCUAACUUCGUGCCAGCAGCCGCGGUAAU